Molecule: ribosomal RNA, 522 nt
Filed under: Euphlyctis cyanophlyctis (skittering frog)
Lineage: Eukaryota; Metazoa; Chordata; Amphibia; Anura; Dicroglossidae
Description: partial large subunit ribosomal RNA
Rfam family: Bacterial large subunit ribosomal RNA
Source: RNAcentral
AUCGCCUCUUGAUAAAAUAUAAGAGGUCCAGCCUGCCCGGUGAUAUAAUUUAACGGCCGCGGUAUACUGACCGUGCGAAGGUAGCAUAAUCACUUGUUCUUUAAAUGGGGACUAGUAUGAAUGGCACCACGAGGGCUUUACUGUCUCCUUUCUUCAAUCAGUGAAACUGACCUCCCUGUGAAGAGGCAGGGAUACUACUAUAAGACGAGAAGACCCCAUGGAGCUUUAAACCCAACAACAGCCCAAACACCUACCCCCUCAAAGUUUUUAAAGUUUUGUUAGUUGGUUUUAGGUUGGGGUGACCGCGGAGUACAAACCACCCUCCACGACGAAUGGGCCUACCCCCUUACCCAAGAAUUACACCUCUAAGGAUUAACACAUUAACGUAAAAUGAUCCAAAUAUUUGAUCAACGAACCAAGUUACCCUGGGGAUAACAGCGCAAUCCAUUUUUAGAGCCCCUAUCGACAAAUGGGUUUACGACCUCGAUGUUGGAUCAGGGUAUCCCGGAGGUGCAGCCGCUU